RNAcentral lists this ribosomal RNA (253 nucleotides) under uncultured bacterium. RNAcentral's name for it is "partial 16S ribosomal RNA". It matches the Rfam family "Bacterial small subunit ribosomal RNA", at positions 524 to 776 of the family's 1533-position model. The record is from RNAcentral.
UACAGAGGGUGCAAGCGUUAAUCGGAAUUACUGGGCGUAAAGAGCGUGUAGGCGGCCAAGCAGGUCAGCUGUGAAAACUCGAGGCUCAACCUCGAGACGUCGGUUGAAACCGCUUGGCUAGAGUCCGGAAGAGGAGAGUGGAAUUCCCGGUGUAGCGGUGAAAUGCGCAGAUAUCGGGAAGAACACCCGUGGCGAAGGCGGCUCUCUGGGACGGUACUGACGCUGAGACGCGAAAGCGUGGGGAGCGAACAGG